AUGGGGCCUGAUGGAGGCCCCGACAUGCCUAUAGAAAUUGGCCUUUUAGGACCCGCAGGGGAGGGUACAGGGCCAUGUCCACAAGAACAGAAGUGUGACUUUCUCAGGACCUGCUGGAGGAUUCUAGAGCCAUUGGUCGGAUACACAGCGACUUCGGCAGGGACUACUCAAAAACACAGGGUAAGAGAGGACCACGCAGCUGACACAUCUAGGGAUCCCGGAAGAGGAGGAGAGGGCAUGGCCACCACUACCCAAUGUCCCAUGACAGGAGGUGACAGUGCACACGACACUGCCCAGGGUCCUGUGACAGGAGGUGACAGCGCGGAAGACACUGCCUGAUGUCCAGCAGGUGGAGGGACAAUGCGGCUGACAAUGUCUGGUGUUCCGGUAGAGGAGGGGACAUCAUGGCUGCCACUGACCAGUGUCCCCAGAGAGAAGGGGACAGCACGGCCGACACAGACUGGUGUCCCCAGAGAGGAAGAGAUAGCGUGGCCAACACUAACUGGUGU
RNAcentral lists this long non-coding RNA (509 nucleotides) under Canis lupus familiaris (dog). RNAcentral's name for it is "lncRNA (ENSCAFG00030022526.1)". Lineage: Eukaryota; Metazoa; Chordata; Mammalia; Carnivora; Canidae. The record is from RNAcentral.